This 86-nucleotide transfer RNA is filed under the name bacterium ADurb.Bin236. RNAcentral's name for it is "tRNA-Leu". It matches the Rfam family "tRNA". From Rfam's summary of the family: Transfer RNA (tRNA) molecules are approximately 80 nucleotides in length. Their secondary structure includes four short double-helical elements and three loops (D, anti-codon, and T loops). RNAcentral also lists the same sequence under 1 other name. The record is from RNAcentral.
GCCGAAGUGGCGGAACAGGUAGACGCAGCAGACUCAAAAUCUGCCGAGGAUCACUCCUCGUGGGGGUUCGAUUCCCUUCUUCGGCA